RNAcentral lists this ribosomal RNA (497 nucleotides) under uncultured bacterium. RNAcentral describes it as "partial 16S ribosomal RNA". It matches the Rfam family "Bacterial small subunit ribosomal RNA", at positions 28 to 507 of the family's 1533-position model. The record is from RNAcentral.
GAUGAACGCCGGUGGCGUGCCUAAUACAUGCAAGUCGAGCGAACAGACGAGGAGCUUGCUCCUCUGACGUUAGCGGCGGACGGGUGAGUAACACGUGGAUAACCUACCUAUAAGACUGGGAUAACUUCGGGAAACCGGAGCUAAUACCGGAUAAUAUAUUGAACCGCAUGGUUCAAUAGUGAAAGACGGUUUUGCUGUCACUUAUAGAUGGAUCCGCGCCGCAUUAGCUAGUUGGUAAGGUAACGGCUUACCAAGGCAACGAUGCGUAGCCGACCUGAGAGGGUGAUCGGCCACACUGGAACUGAGACACGGUCCAGACUCCUACGGGAGGCAGCAGUAGGGAAUCUUCCGCAAUGGGCGAAAGCCUGACGGAGCAACGCCGCGUGAAUGAUGAAGGUCUUCGGAUCGUAAAACUCUGUUAUUAGGGAAGAACAAAUGUGUAAGUAACUAUGCACGUCUUGACGGUACCUAAUCAGAAAGCCACGGCUAACUACGUG